This 323-nucleotide unclassified non-coding RNA is filed under the name soil metagenome. Its description in RNAcentral is "partial contains 5.8S ribosomal RNA, internal transcribed spacer 2, and large subunit ribosomal RNA". The stretch from base 1 to 120 matches the Rfam family "5.8S ribosomal RNA", at positions 35 to 154 of the family's 154-position model. The record is from RNAcentral.
GAUGAAGAACGUAGCGAAAUGCGAUAAGUAGUGUGAAUUGCAGAAUUCAGUGAAUCAUCGAAUCUUUGAACGCACAUUGCGCCCCUUGGUAUUCCAUGGGGCAUGCCUGUUCGAGCGUCAUUUGUACCUUCAAGCUUUGCUUGGUGUUGGGUGUUUGUCCUGAGGGACUCUCCUUAAAGUAAUUGGCAGCCAGUGUUUGGUUUUGAAGCGCAGCACAAGUCGCGAUUCAAAGCUAUACGCCCGCUUCCACAAGCCUUUUUCACUUUUGACCUCGGAUCAGGUAGGGAUACCCGCUGAACUUAAGCAUAUCAAUAAGCGGAGGA